Molecule: ribosomal RNA, 254 nt
Filed under: uncultured bacterium
Lineage: Bacteria
Description: partial 16S ribosomal RNA
Rfam family: Bacterial small subunit ribosomal RNA
Source: RNAcentral
UACAGAGGUCUCAAGCGUUGUUCGGAUUUACUGGGCGUAAAGGGCGCGUAGGCGGCCACCGCAAGUCAAUUGUGAAAUCUCCGGGCUUAACCCGGAAAGGUCAGCUGAUACUGCGGGGCUAGAGUGCGGAAGGGGCAACUGGAAUUCUCGGUGUAGCGGUGAAAUGCGUAGAUAUCGAGAGGAACACCUGCGGCGAAGGCGGGUUGCUGGGCCGACACUGACGCUGAUGCGCGAAAGCCAGGGGAGCGAACGGG